This 497-nucleotide ribosomal RNA is filed under the name uncultured bacterium. RNAcentral describes it as "partial 16S ribosomal RNA". It matches the Rfam family "Bacterial small subunit ribosomal RNA", at positions 28 to 507 of the family's 1533-position model. The record is from RNAcentral.
GAUGAACGCUGGCGGCGUGCCUAAUACAUGCAAGUCGAGCGAACAGACGAGGAGCUUGCUCCUCUGACGUUAGCGGCGGACGGGUGAGUAACACGUGGAUAACCUACCUAUAAGACUGGGAUAACUUCGGGAAACCGGAGCCAAUACCGGAUAACAUGUUGAACCGCAUGGUUCAACAGUGAAAGACGGUCUUGCUGUCACUUAUAGAUGGAUCCGCGCCGCAUUAGCUAGUUGGUAAGGUAACGGCUUACCAAGGCAACGAUGCGUAGCCGACCUGAGAGGGUGAUCGGCCACACUGGAACUGAGACACGGUCCAGACUCCUACGGGAGGCAGCAGUAGGGAAUCUUCCGCAAUGGGCGAAAGCCUGACGGAGCAACGCCGCGUGAGUGAUGAAGGUCUUCGGAUCGUAAAACUCUGUUAUUAGGGAAGAACAAAUGUGUAAGUAACUAUGCACGUCUUGACGGUACCUAAUCAGAAAGCCACGGCUAACUACGUG